UGGGGAAUUUUGGACAAUGGACGCAAGUCUGAUCCAGCCAUUCCGCGUGCAGGAUGAAGGCCCUCGGGUUGUAAACUGCUUUUGUACGGAACGAAAAGGUCUCUAUUAAUACUAGAGGCUCAUGACGGUACCGUAAGAAUAAGCACCGGCUAACUACGUG
This 160-nucleotide ribosomal RNA is filed under the name uncultured bacterium. RNAcentral describes it as "partial 16S ribosomal RNA". It matches the Rfam family "Bacterial small subunit ribosomal RNA", at positions 355 to 507 of the family's 1533-position model. The record is from RNAcentral.